GUCGCAACUCUACCAAUGGCCGGUCCCAAGUCCGGAUGAAAAAAGAGGAGGGAGGC
This 56-nucleotide non-coding RNA is filed under the name unclassified sequences. The record is from RNAcentral.